AACGAACGCUGGCGGCAUGCCUAACACAUGCAAGUCGAACGAGACCUUCGGGUCUAGUGGCGCACUGGUGCGUAACGCGUUGGAACCUGCCCUUAGGUUCGGAAUAACUCCCCGGAAGGGGUGCUAAUACCGGAUAAUGUCUUCGGACCAAAGAUUUAUCGCCUUUGGAUGGGCCCGCGUUGUAUUAGCUAGUUGUGAGGGUAAAAGCCUACCAAGGCGACGAUACAUAGCUGGUCUGAGAGGAUGAUCAGCCACACUGGGACUGAGAAACGGUCCAGACUAUUACGGGAGGCAGCAGUGGGGAAUAUUGGACAAUGGGCGAAAGCAUGAACCAGCAAUGCCGCGUGAGUGAUGAAGGUCUUAGGGUUGUAAAGCUCUUUUACCCGGGAUGAUAAUGACAGUACCGGGAGAAUAAGCGCCGGCUAACUCCGUG
This 433-nucleotide ribosomal RNA is filed under the name uncultured bacterium. Its description in RNAcentral is "partial 16S ribosomal RNA". It matches the Rfam family "Bacterial small subunit ribosomal RNA", at positions 29 to 507 of the family's 1533-position model. The record is from RNAcentral.